RNAcentral lists this long non-coding RNA (1590 nucleotides) under Calidris pygmaea (Spoon-billed sandpiper). RNAcentral's name for it is "lncRNA (ENSCPGG00000018551.1)". Lineage: Eukaryota; Metazoa; Chordata; Aves; Charadriiformes; Scolopacidae. The record is from RNAcentral.
AGUGGAUCAAGGCCAAACUUCCGUUUAGCUUUCUUAUUUUUCCUGCAGAAUUGAAUGCGAUGGCUUGUGAAGCGUUUCUGGUCCGAGGGGCAGCAGAUGCAACGGUGGUGGUUGUAAGGAGUCCCUCUACCAGCACACGCUUACUUUGUGGGGAUGGUUUUCCUACUGCCCUUAGCCAUCUUGCUUGCGCUGCGAGAACUGGAAGUUUUUCCUAAGGCCGGAGCCCAACUUUAUCAGAUGGGACCACGUUUCAGCUGGUUUCUGGACUAACGUGCUGAGUGUCCUCAUACACCACUGCUCCCGGGUCAGACGCCGAGGCUGCUGCGGAGCUUAUUUAAGUACACUGGAAAAUUCCCUCCCUAAUAAGGUGGGCAAAGUCACAACACGGAGGAGAAGAGGAGGAGGAGGAGGAGGAGGAAGAGAGAGCAAGAGAGAGAACUAAAAACCCCCUGAAGGAUGGUUCUCAAAAACUGCUGGAGGAACCGGGGGGAAUUCCGGGGCGAGCGGGAGCCGGGCGCGGAGAUGGCCGAGCCCGGAGGUGUUUGAUGAGCAGAUUGGGUCUUUAUCUCGGCGCUGGAGAGCAGGCAGGCUCGCGGGGAGACGCUGGAGCUUUACAGGAUUUCUGGUGUUUGUUUGUUUUCUUCUGCUGAAAUCCGGCUGCCUUUUUACUGCUCUGUAAAGAAUUUUGUAUGGGCUGAAUAUGUUUCUGCUUUAUAUAUGGCUUUUCAUAUCAUCGUAUUAAACAUAUUGAGAGUUAAGGAGAAACUAUUUUAAAAUAAUCCCCUCUCUUUUAUUUGGUAUGUUUACCAGCAGCACUCCCUAUAAAAAUACAUAUUCAUGCCAGAUUCUUUUGUUAUCCUUUCCAGGUCAGACCGAACAUUAGGAACGCAAACAAUUUUUCUUUUGCUAUCCCAGUGCCCGUUCCUAGGGAUUUAUGUGGUUGCUGUUGGUGAGGUGACCAUUCUUGCACUAUUUCCCUCGGUGAUUUAAUUGAACAAGGCAAAAAUUAAAGCUUGCAGACAAUAUUUUAUUUGAAAGCAUUAUUUACAUUUUUGUUCUGAAAGGGUAGUCCCAGCUUUUUGUGGACAGCCGUCGGAUCGCAGUCCUGUUCUGAGGGGGGCUGUACUGCACGUUUGAGAACAGUCUCUCUCAUCUGCAUAUUUUCUUAUUUUGUAUGUUUUUAAUACUAUGCAAAAUGAAUGAACAACAAAAUUCUAAUAUAAUAGGAGAAUGUAAAUUAAUGGCAAAAGACGGAUUAAAACAGUUCACACGAAUGAUCUGAUCUGACAUCAAUGCCUUGUUAUUUAAUGCAAACCUUGAUUUUCAACUGUUUCGUCUCACUCCUGACAUGAGCAUCGUGCAGUUUAAACAUCUGUCCAGCCGUUAAAGACCUUAUUGAUGCCUGGUUAUUGGAUUUCUAAUUUUCAGGUUUUGUCAGGGGGUUUAACAGACUAUAUGAGUGUUUAUAAUUUCUAAUGAGUUUAAUCUGUAAUUUGUGCCUAUUACCUAUGACUGUCAAAUCACUUUCCCAGUACUUGGUCUGUAAAAAUUCAAAAUAAAGAAAUGCAGGUUUCUAAAUAACCUAAAAUA